Molecule: long non-coding RNA, 770 nt
Organism: Prosopis cineraria
Lineage: Eukaryota; Viridiplantae; Streptophyta; Magnoliopsida; Fabales; Fabaceae
Exons: 3
Source: RefSeq, a predicted model, not a curated record
CGAAGUGUUUACUCUCCUGCUUGUCUUUGCAUCGCCGAGCAAACCCACACUUAGUUCUCCUUCAUGUUGCCGUUCUCACUUCACCCUCCGUUGUUGGUCGCCGCUUGUUCUCCACUAUUGGUCGCUUGCUAUCAUGCCUUCAUCUCCAACCGUGGACCCAGAAUAGGCACACGUAUAAACGCUCGAGGAUCGAGUGGUGGAAAGUUGAUUUGGAACAAAAGGAGCAAGCAGCAAUGAGAAGUAUCUCACUGUGCCACACGCUGUGGCAUAUAGUGCAUGCACCACGACGCAUGGCAUAGAAUCUAGAUAAAUGAGAUGUGGAUCAUUGUGUGAAAUAAAGAGGAAAGAAGGGGGAAAAUGUGAAACAAGGAGAGAAGGAAGAUUUUCUUUACUAAGGCAUCUGUUUUUAGAAGUUUGGGAGUUGGAUCUGACAAGUGACUUGCUGGGUGAAAAGAGUUCUUAAAGGCUAGGAAAGGAAGCACAGAAGGAGUAGCUUCAUUUUUGGUAGUGGUAAAGCUACCUUCAAGAUGAAAUGAAUAUAUAAUUAUACUGAGUGUUUUAGUUGCCAACUAGGAUGCAUACAUGUGUUUGUAGUAUUUUUAAUGACUGGCUUGUAUAACUUGUAUUGUAUUUGGCCAAGUGUAUCACAAUGGUGAAUAUGUGGGUAGGCCUAGGUACUAUUCAAGAAGUAUGUAAAUAUGAUGUGAUUGCUGUGUUCCACUGGUAUAUAAAUGUGAUUUUUGUGAUACUGUGUACGUGUGUGAGCCCUG